RNAcentral lists this unclassified non-coding RNA (264 nucleotides) under Hevea brasiliensis (rubber tree). The record is from RNAcentral. Lineage: Eukaryota; Viridiplantae; Streptophyta; Magnoliopsida; Malpighiales; Euphorbiaceae.
CUUUAUUGUUACAAUCUGGAAAUAGACCUGCUUGUUGCUUCAAUAAGUUUUCAUCGUAGUCAGAUUUUCUUUUGCCACAGGGUUUUCCAAUUGAUUGCUUCAAAAUUCCUUUCCGAGAUAAGUGACCAGAAUGAGAGUCAAAUGAUGAAUGCUCAUUUGAAGGAUUGGAAACACUGGAAGACCCUUCAAAGCUAGAAUGGUUAUUGGGUUGGUUUAAUGGGUGAUGAAACUGUGUUCGAGGAAUCAAACUUAACAAGUGGCUGG